Long non-coding RNA from Equus quagga, 2910 nucleotides. RefSeq lists it as uncharacterized. The transcript has 3 exons. Lineage: Eukaryota; Metazoa; Chordata; Mammalia; Perissodactyla; Equidae. The record is from RefSeq and is a predicted model, not a curated record.
CUCGCCCGCUCAGGUCGCCUCAGGCCCAGCUGAGGCUACGGACGCGGGCUCCUGGGGCCGCGCCGCUUGCUUGUUCACUCGCUCCCUCUGCAAGGAGGGUGCAGCUCGAGGUGGAAAGAGGAGGCGGCGGCCGUGUACUGGAGGAGGCUCGGUUUCCGCGGCAGCAGCGGCUGCAGCGCCGGGUUCUGCAACGGCCUCGAGCGCCCCACCGCUUCGGAUAUUUCCGCCGCCUGCCCGCUUCGGCUCUUCCCGCCUGGCCUGCGUUCUGCGCCUGCGCAGCCACCGGUGCCUCCGCUCCGCGUUGCUGAGCGAUGGGGCUCGGGGUUCGGGUUCUUUCGGCUGGGCUCGAGUAUUUCCGAUCAUAUAGGCCGUCCCACGGUCACUUCCGGGGAAUCUCGCGGGUCCGGGAAGGGGGCGGUGCUGUCCCCAUCUUUAAGUGAGGCAGACGCGAGCCGCUCCGUGCGCGGUCCGGCCGCUCAACUUGCGCUUGUACUGAUCGAGGCGGGUUUCGGUCAAAUGAGGUCCUUGCCCCCCCCCCCCCCGCCGGAGGUGACAGAGGCAGGGUCAUCACGGCAGGCUAGAUCCUGGGCGACGCCAGGGGCGUUGUCUAGAGGGUGUGGGGUCGAGCACCCUCGGUGUCCCAUCGCAAACCCAAAGAACCCGCUCGCGGAGACUCUGGUUGAGGUAAACAACAACUAAACUUGUAUUGUGCCAGAGAGUGGUAAGCACCAAGGAGGUGUACACGGGUGGAUAUUUGGGGGACGGGACUUGGGACUGGGCCUCUCGGCGUGGGUCCUGAGUUCCAGCGGAGGCGCGCCACCAUCUUCCGCCGUCUGCACUGGCAGGUGUGAGCGGGCCCAGCCUUCUCUCCAAUCACAGCUCUGCGUGCUUCGAAGGGCGGGAGGAAGCGGUGCCGGGAGGUCCUGCGACUUCCGGCUGUCACCACGGAAACCGUCAGGCGGGUGAGCGGCGCCGAGAGGGCUGGCCAGGGCGGGAGGCCGGGCCGGUGGGGGCUGCCGGGGCUCUGCCGCUCAGCCCUUGCGCAGCCGAGUGCUGUCGCCUCCCGGAGCUCUGGGAGAAGUGGGCCCGCGGGCGGUCCGCCUGGGCCUGCGCCCGGGGCAUGCUCGUGGGCUCCUCUCAGCCGUCGUCCCGGCCCGCGCCCGCGGUCCUCGCCUCGGCGGAGUGGUCCUGACGCCCUCAGGCCCAGCGCCUCUUCGGACCCGUCCCGGCGUCCACCCGGCUCCCACCCUCACCUCAGGGAGUCGCCUCCGCCUCUCCGUUCCUUGGUCUGGCGUCCAUGCGGCCCAGUCUUCUCGGAGGCCCUGCCCCAUGCGUGCCCGAUCCCACACCAGAGUCCUGUUGGAGAGGACGGCGAGUGUUGUUCCAGGACCCAGGAGACACUCCUUUCCUGACUAUGCCACACAGGAGUGCCCCUGCAUGGGGAGCUGCUGACUUUGCCAGCAUAAAAUCCACAAAGAUGAACAGAAGAAAAAUAAGCCAACAAACCAACCCCUGACAUUUUCUACUCUGGAAAGCAGAUGGGUAAAUGGCAACUGUGGGGCAGACUAAAGGUGAACACUAAGCCAGCAAUGGGGAAAAUUGAAAAAAAUCAACUCGUUUUACCCCAAAGAAGACUUGAAAAGUUCAGGACUUGGAGGUACCAGGUACCUCAGGUUGUGCAUGUGAAGCGACAGGGGCACCAAGCAGGCUGGGGAGGCUGUGUCAGAAACAGAAGCUGGGCAUGGCUACUGCACAGAACAGCCCUGGGCUCUGUCUGCACAGAAUCCUGAGUAAAUGGUGGGCACUGCUGUAGCUCACAUCCCUGGAUCUCUCUUUCCCAUCGUGGCAAAAGGCUGGGUUGAGGAUGGGAGACCAUACUGAGGAAGUCAAGAGAUUAAGUGAAGUCACACUGGGCACUAAGACACCAGCCUCUCUCCUGGGAUGCUUGCAAGAUGCUGGAUGUGCCCUCUUGGAAGACUCAGAGGAAAGACCCAAAGAUGUUCACAGCAAUGGGGUGCCCCCAAAUGGCCCAGCCACAUUGCCCUAUGGAUCCUUUAGUAGCGUCCAUUUAUACUCCACCCACCCGCUCACAUCCCCCAAGAAGUGGGUCUCCUUGACUAGUGACCCCCAACAUUCCUUCCAGCCCUGGUUUGUUGUCAUGGCUGAUAAGCUUCUCACCUACCUGCUCAGAGCCGCCAGAUCUGUGGUCCCUCUGAGACUACACUGGGAGAAAAAACUUAAAUUAUUGCAAUCCUCAGAGAAAUGAGGAAAGAUGUUAUGUUACAACUGUAAGAACAACAGGAAGUGGCUAUAAAAAUGAACAGCAAAUGGAAACACUCUUGGAAAUUAAAACUAUGCUAGGAAACACGAAAAUCUCAACAGAAAAUCUGGAAGAUAUAAUUAAGGAAAUUUUCUGGAAAAUAGAGCAGAAAGAAAAGGAUGGGAAAUCGGAGUGAAAUGAACAUUAGAGGACCUGCCUCAGAGGCCAAUAGGCAAGUAUCAGGCAUUCCAGAAAUAAGAGAACAGAACAAUGGAGGGGAAGGAAAUCAAAGAAACAAUUCAAGCCAAUUUCCCACAACUGAGAUGUGAAUUUCAUCUCAUCAACAAUGGUGGUAAAAAAUGUUUGAGACUGAGUUAAUAAAAAGAAUUCCUCAUCCAGCCAAACUUCAGUCUAACAUUGAGUGUUAGACAAAUGUGCUUCAGAUAUAUAACAUCUCACAACUUCACCUCCCACACCAGAGUUUCACAGUUCACAGGAAGGUCCACCAGAACAAGGGAAUAAACCAAGAAAGAGGCGGGGUCCAGGGAACAUGGAGAAAGAGGAGGUGGGAAGCGUGGAUGAUGGCAGCCAGAGGGCGGUGUGGCUGAGAUGGACAACAGGGGGCCUCUUGCCUGAGAUGCCUGGACUAU